AACGGAUUAUUCUUUAUAGCUUGCUAUAAAGAGUAGUUAGUGGCAGACGGGUGAGUAAUGCAUAGGAAUCUACCUAGUAGUAUGGGAUAGCCACUAGAAAUGGUGGGUAAUACUGUAUAAUCCCUGCGGGGGAAAGAUUUAUCGCUAUUAGAUGAGCCUAUGUUAGAUUAGCUAGUUGGUAGGGUAAAGGCCUACCAAGGCGAUGAUCUAUAGCUGGUCUGAGAGGAUGAUCAGCCACACUGGAACUGAGAUACGGUCCAGACUCCUACGGGAGGCAGCAGUGGGGAAUAUUGGACAAUGGGCGCAAGCCUGAUCCAGCUAUGCCGCGUGAGUGAGGAAGGCCUUAGGGUUGUAAAACUCUUUCAGUAGGGAAGAUAAUGACGGUACCUACAGAAGAAGUCCCGGCAAACUCCGUGCCAGCAGCCGCGGUAA
This 432-nucleotide ribosomal RNA is filed under the name uncultured Anaplasma sp. RNAcentral describes it as "bacterial SSU rRNA". It matches the Rfam family "Bacterial small subunit ribosomal RNA", at positions 65 to 523 of the family's 1533-position model. Lineage: Bacteria; Pseudomonadati; Pseudomonadota; Alphaproteobacteria; Rickettsiales; Anaplasmataceae. The record is from RNAcentral.